RNAcentral lists this ribosomal RNA (253 nucleotides) under uncultured bacterium. Its description in RNAcentral is "partial 16S ribosomal RNA". It matches the Rfam family "Bacterial small subunit ribosomal RNA", at positions 524 to 776 of the family's 1533-position model. The record is from RNAcentral.
UACGUAGGGGGCAAGCGUUGUCCGGAUUUAUUGGGCGUAAAGAGCGUGUAGGCGGCUGGGUAGGUCCGUUGUGAAAACUCGAGGCUCAACCUCGAGACGCCGAUGGAAACCCUCCAGCUAGAGUCCGGAAGAGGAGAGUGGAAUUCCUGGUGUAGCGGUGAAAUGCGCGGAUAUCAGGAAGAACACCCGUGGCUAAGGCGGCUCUCUAGUACGGUACUGACGCUGAGACGCGAAAGCGUGGGGAGCGAACAGG